RNAcentral lists this ribosomal RNA (429 nucleotides) under Verrucomicrobiota bacterium. RNAcentral describes it as "Verrucomicrobia bacterium partial 16S ribosomal RNA". It matches the Rfam family "Bacterial small subunit ribosomal RNA", at positions 355 to 776 of the family's 1533-position model. The record is from RNAcentral. Lineage: Bacteria; Pseudomonadati; Verrucomicrobiota.
UAGGGAAUCUUCCGCAAUGGACGAAAGUCUGACGGAGCAACGCCGCGUGAGUGAAGAAGGAUUUCGGUUCGUAAAACUCUGUUGUUAGGGAAGAAAAAAUGUAUAGUAACUAUAUACAAAAGAGACGGUACCUAACCAGAAAGCCACGGCUAACUACGUGCCAGCAGCCGCGGUAAUACGUAGGUGGCAAGCGUUGUCCGGAAUUAUUGGGCGUAAAGCGCGCGCAGGUGGUUUAGCAAGUCUGAUGUGAAAGCCCACGGCUCAACCGUGGAGGGUCAUUGGAAACUAAUAAACUUGAUGGCAGGAGAGAAAAGUGGAAUUCCUAGGGUAGCGGUGAAAUGCGUAGAGAUUAGGAGGAACCCCGGUGGCGAAAGCGGCUUUUUGGCCUGCAACUGACACUGAGGCGCGAAAGCGUGGGGAGCAAACAGG